GUGUCAGCCGCCGCGGUAAUACGUAGGGGGCCAGCGUUGUCCGGAUUUAUUGGGCGUAAAGAGCGUGUAGGCGGCCAUGUAGGUCUGAUGUGAAAACUGGAGGCUCAACCUCCAGCUGUCAUUGGAAACCAUGUGGCUAGAGUCCGGAAGAGGAGAGUGGAAUUCCUGGUGUAGCGGUGAAAUGCGCAGAUAUCAGGAAGAACACCGAUGGCGAAGGCAGCUCUCUGGGACGGUACUGACGCUGAGACGCGAAAGCGUGGGGAGCGAACAGGAUUAGAUACCCUGGUAGUCCACGCCGUAAACGAUGGGUGCUAGGUGUGGGCGGUGUCGACUCCGUCCGUGCCGAAGCUAACGCAUUAAGCACCCCGCCUGGGGAGUACGGCCGCAAGGCUAAA
RNAcentral lists this ribosomal RNA (395 nucleotides) under uncultured bacterium. RNAcentral describes it as "bacterial SSU rRNA". It matches the Rfam family "Bacterial small subunit ribosomal RNA", at positions 505 to 898 of the family's 1533-position model. The record is from RNAcentral.